Molecule: transfer RNA, 74 nt
Filed under: Nitrosomonadales bacterium
Lineage: Bacteria; Pseudomonadati; Pseudomonadota; Betaproteobacteria; Nitrosomonadales
Also listed under: 1 other name
Description: tRNA-Trp
Rfam family: tRNA
About the family: Transfer RNA (tRNA) molecules are approximately 80 nucleotides in length. Their secondary structure includes four short double-helical elements and three loops (D, anti-codon, and T loops).
Source: RNAcentral
AGGUCUUUCGUAUAGUGGUAAGACUGGACGCUCCAAACGUCUUGACGGGAGUUCGAUUCUCUCAGGACCUGCCA